AAAAAUUUAAAUUAGUUUACUAAAAAAUUAAUAGUUAUGUUCUUUAAAUUUAAAAAAUUUGGCGGUAUUUUAGUCUUAUUAGAGGAAUCUGUUUAUUAAUUGAUAAUCCACGAUUAAUUUUACUUAUUUUAAUUAAUUCAUAUAUCGCUGUCAUGAAUAUAUUUUAAAAAAUUUAUUUUCUUUAAUUAUUUUAAUAAUUUAUGUUAAGUCAAGAUGUGGUUUAUAAAUAAGAAUAUAAUGGAUUACAUUAAAUUUUAUUUUUGGAUUUUAAAUGAAAAUUAAAAUGAAAUUGGAUUUAAUAGUAAAUUUAAUUAUUUUAUUAAUAUGAAUAAAGAUCUA
This 339-nucleotide ribosomal RNA is filed under the name Hyalopterus arundiniformis. RNAcentral describes it as "partial small subunit ribosomal RNA". Lineage: Eukaryota; Metazoa; Arthropoda; Insecta; Hemiptera; Aphididae. The record is from RNAcentral.